This 23-nucleotide non-coding RNA is filed under the name Cricetulus griseus (Chinese hamster). Lineage: Eukaryota; Metazoa; Chordata; Mammalia; Rodentia; Cricetidae. The record is from RNAcentral.
AACAGAAGCGUCUGUAGAACUAG